UCCGAGAUAGCUCAGUUGGCAGAGCAGCUGACUGUUAAUCAGCGGGUCGCAGGUUCGAGCCCUGCUCUCGGAGC
RNAcentral lists this transfer RNA (74 nucleotides) under freshwater metagenome. RNAcentral describes it as "tRNA-Asn". It matches the Rfam family "tRNA". Rfam says of the family: Transfer RNA (tRNA) molecules are approximately 80 nucleotides in length. Their secondary structure includes four short double-helical elements and three loops (D, anti-codon, and T loops). Further hydrogen bonds mediate the characteristic L-shaped molecular structure. tRNAs have two regions of fundamental functional importance: the anti-codon, which is responsible for specific mRNA codon recognition, and the 3' end, to which the tRNAs corresponding amino acid is attached (by aminoacyl-tRNA synthetases). tRNAs cope with the degeneracy of the genetic code in two manners: having more than one tRNA (with a specific anti-codon) for a particular amino acid; and 'wobble' base-pairing, i.e. permitting non-standard base-pairing at the 3rd anti-codon position. The record is from RNAcentral.